AGACCCGAAACCCGGUGAUCUAGCCAUGGGCAGGUUGAAGGUUGGGUAACACUAACUGGAGGACCGAACCGACUAAUGUUGAAAAAUUAGCGGAUGACCUGUGGCUGGGGGUGAAAGGCCAAUCAAACCGGGAGAUAGCUGGUUCUCCCCGAAAGCUAUUUAGGUAGCGCCUCGUGAAUUCAUCUCCGGGGGUAGAGCACUGUUUCGGCUAGGGGGCCAUCCCGGCUUACCAACCCGAUGCAAACUGCGAAUACCGGAGAAUGUUAUCACGGGAGACACACGGCGGGUGCUAACGUCCGUCGUGAAGAGGGAAACAACCCAGACCGCCAGCUAAGGUCCCAAAGUCAUGGUUAAGUGGGAAACGAUGUGGGAAGGCCCAGACAGCCAGGAUGUUGGCUUAGAAGCAGCCAUCAUUUAAAGAAAGCGUAAUAGCUCACUGGUCGAGUCGGCCUGCGCGGAAGAUGUAACGGGGCUAAACCAUGCACCGAAGCUGCGGCAGCGACGCUGAUGCGUUGUUGGGUAGGGGAGCGUUCUGUAAGCCUGCGAAG
This 548-nucleotide ribosomal RNA is filed under the name Salmonella enterica. Its description in RNAcentral is "partial 23S ribosomal RNA". It matches the Rfam family "Bacterial large subunit ribosomal RNA", at positions 711 to 1255 of the family's 2925-position model. The record is from RNAcentral. Lineage: Bacteria; Pseudomonadati; Pseudomonadota; Gammaproteobacteria; Enterobacterales; Enterobacteriaceae. RNAcentral also lists the same sequence under 1 other name.